AUUGAACGCUGGCGGCAUGCCUUACACAUGCAAGUCGAACGGCAGCGGACCUUCGGGUGCCGGCGAGUGGCGAACGGGUGAGUAAUAUAUCGGAACGUACCUUUCAGUGGGGGAUAACGUAGCGAGAGUUACGCUAAUACCGCAUAUUCUGUGAGCAGGAAAGCAGGGGAUCGCAAGACCUUGCGCUGAUUGAGCGGCCGAUAUCAGAUUAGCUAGUUGGUGNGGUAAACGGCUCACCAAGGCGACGAUCUGUAGCGGGUCGUGACGAGGAUGAUCCGCCACACUGGAACUGAGACACGGUCCAGACUCCUACGGGAGGCAGCAGUGGGGAAUUUUGGACAAUGGGCGCAAGCCUGAUCCAGCCAUGCCGCGUGAGUGAAGAGG
This 384-nucleotide ribosomal RNA is filed under the name uncultured bacterium. Its description in RNAcentral is "bacterial SSU rRNA". It matches the Rfam family "Bacterial small subunit ribosomal RNA", at positions 30 to 413 of the family's 1533-position model. The record is from RNAcentral.